CUGAACUCUGCCAGUUACUGAUACUGACGCUGAACUCUGCCAGUUACUGAUACUGACGCUGAACUCUGCCAGUUACUGAUACUGACGCUGCACUACCUAACCUGCCCUUUACAGACCCAUUAGCUCAACAUAAUACUUAAUAAAUCUCUCCCUAUAAGCCGUUACUCAUAGUGUUUUCCUGUGGGAUAAUUUAGUAAGGGGUCUCUUUCAUUCUAUGUUUGCAUGAGAUUUUGUGAAUCUUUUCACUUCUGUGGUUCUUUACCAUCUGGCAGAUUCGUGCACAAACGUCUUAUAUUGCAAGAAGUUAUCCCACAAGCCUCCCCUUCUAAUCCUGCAGCCAAACUUACAGAUAAUGAAAGCUCAACAUGCAGUGAAACUUCCAAGGCCGGAAAUUGUAUCAACUUAGUGGCUCCUGGCGUUCAGCAGAUCAGUUUAAAACCAAUGGCAAACAGGAAACAUGCCAUGAAUUACCCAUGUCUCACCAUCUUGCCAGUAUUCCAGGAAGCGUGGAAGCCCUUCAGAUGCUCACACAGAGACCUGACCGUUGGGGCUCAUUCAGCUAGGAGCCUGUGAAUUAAAACAAGGGUGGGUUCCGGAAGGGACUGUAAGGAAACAGAGGGAGUCCAAGCCAAAGGGAUUAAACUAGGAUAUUUACUAUGAGCCAAGGUCUUAUAUCAGACCUCCCAUAUAUAAAUGUGUAGAUGAUAGGUCACUGCGAGCACAAAAAAAAUAAACAAAUUACCUAUCCUAUGCAUGUUAGACGUGUAGUUUGUAUCUGUAUACACGUACAUCCUGGUCUCCGUUAUGGCUAUAGUUUGUAUCUGUAUACACGUACAUCCUGCUCUCCGUUACGGCUAUAGUUUGUAUCUGUAUACACGUACAUCCUGCUCUCCGUUAUGGCUAUAGUUUGUAUCUGUAUACACGUACAUCCUGCUCUCCGUUACGGCUAUAGUUUGUAUCUGUAUACACGUACAUCCUGCUCUCCAUUAUGGCUAUAGUUUGUAUCUGUAUAUACGUACAUCCGGCUCUCCGUUAUGGCUAUAGUUUGUAUCUGUAUAUACGUACAUCCUGCUCUCUGUUAUAGCUAUAGUUUGUAUCUGUAUACACGUACAUCCUGCUCUCCGUUACGGCUAUAGUUUGUAUCUGUAUACACGUACAUCCGGCUCUCUG
Molecule: non-coding RNA, 1170 nt
Organism: Pelobates cultripes (western spadefoot toad)
Lineage: Eukaryota; Metazoa; Chordata; Amphibia; Anura; Pelobatidae
Source: the annotation of a GenBank genome assembly